Homo sapiens (human) is the source of this 685-nucleotide long non-coding RNA. RefSeq lists it as uncharacterized. Lineage: Eukaryota; Metazoa; Chordata; Mammalia; Primates; Hominidae. The transcript is spliced from 2 exons. The record is from RefSeq and is a predicted model, not a curated record.
GGCAACCCGCUGGGGUCGUCUUCCAUGCGGUAGAAGCUUUGUUCUUUUGCUGUUUGCAAUAAAUCUUGUUGCUGGUCACUGUUUGGGUCCGCACUGCCUUUGUGAGCUGUAACGCUCACCACGAAGGUCUGCGGGUUCACUGCUGAGGCCAGUGAGAGCCCGAGCCCACCAGGAGGAAUGAACAACUCCGGAUGGGAGAAACGAACAACUCCAGAUCCGCCGACUUAAGAGCUGCAACACUCACCGCCAAGCUAUGCAGCUUGACUCCUGAAGCCAGCGAGACCACGAACCCAUCAGAAGAAAAACUGUGAACACACCCGAGGAAUAAACUCCGGACACACCAUCUUUAAGAAUUGUAACACUCACCACGAGGGUCCACGGCUUCAUUCUUGAGGUCCUGCUCUUUUCCUCUUGACAGCAAGCUACCACUGUUUAGAGAGAGUCUCCUGUUGUCUUCGUCCUGAGGCUUCUUCCAUCUGCACGGAGGUUCCGAAGCGUUUAUGACAUAUCAAUCCCUCUACCAUCAGGCACACAUUUCACUGUUUUGGGAGAAGGCCUUUGGACUGAAGCUGGAAUCACUGCUGCUCCGUGGGUGCUUGUCAUGGCUCCUGUGGAUGGGAACCCGCUAGGCUUCUAGGCUCUGCAUGGGUUUGUCUUUUUGAAUAAAUUGAGCAAUUGAAUUAUU